Molecule: small nuclear RNA, 163 nt
Organism: Colobus angolensis palliatus
Lineage: Eukaryota; Metazoa; Chordata; Mammalia; Primates; Cercopithecidae
Gene: U1
Rfam family: U1 spliceosomal RNA
About the family: U1 is a small nuclear RNA (snRNA) component of the spliceosome (involved in pre-mRNA splicing). Its 5' end forms complementary base pairs with the 5' splice junction, thus defining the 5' donor site of an intron.
Source: Ensembl
AUACGUAUCUGGCAGGGGAGAUACCAUGAUCACAAAGGUGGUUUCCCAGGGUGAGGCCUAUCCAUUGCACUCCAGCUGUGCUGACCCCUGUGAUUCCCCCACAUGUGGGAGACUUGACUGCAUAAUUUGUGGUAAUGGGGGACUGCUUUUGCACUCUCCCCUG